RNAcentral lists this ribosomal RNA (476 nucleotides) under uncultured bacterium. RNAcentral's name for it is "bacterial SSU rRNA". It matches the Rfam family "Bacterial small subunit ribosomal RNA", at positions 28 to 481 of the family's 1533-position model. The record is from RNAcentral.
GACGAACGCUGGCGGCGUGCUUAAGACAUGCAAGUCGUACGAGAAAGUCUCUUCGGAGAUGAGUAAAGUGGCGCACGGGUGAGUAACGCGUGGGUAAUCUGCCCUUAGGCUUGGGAUAACCCCGGGAAACCGGAGCUAAUACCGAAUGAGACCACGACGACUUCGGUCGAUGUGGGAAAAGGUGGCCUCUUCUUGAAAGCUAUCGCCAAAGGAUGAGCCCGCGUUUGAUUAGCUAGUUGGUGAGGUAAUGGCUCACCAAGGCGACGAUCAAUAGCUGGUCUGAGAGGAUGAUCAGCCACACUGGAACUGAGAUACGGUCCAGACUCCUACGGGAGGCAGCAGUCAGGAAUAUUGGGCAAUGGGCGAAAGCCUGACCCAGCAACGCCGCGUGAAGGAUGAAGGCCUUCGGGUCGUAAACUUCUGUCGAGAGGGAAGAAUGCGUACGGGUGAAUAAUCCGUGCGUUUGACGGUACCUC